UGGGCAACCUGCCCCUCUCUCUGGGAUAACCCCGGGAAACCGGAGCUAAUACCGGAUACUCCGGCUGGAUCGCAUGGUCCGGCCGGGAAAGGUCCGCCGGUCAGGGAUGGGCCCGCGGCCUAUCAGCUUGUUGGCGAGGUAACGGCUCACCAAGGCGACGACGGGUAGCUGGUCUGAGAGGACGACCAGCCACACUGGAACUGAGAUACGGUCCAGACUCCUACGGGAGGCA
Molecule: ribosomal RNA, 232 nt
Filed under: uncultured bacterium
Lineage: Bacteria
Description: partial 16S ribosomal RNA
Rfam family: Bacterial small subunit ribosomal RNA
Source: RNAcentral